UUGGUUGAUCAACAGAACAUAGACACUUCUUUCCCCAGGGGGCUUGGUGCACAAUGGCUGCAGACUGCAGCCUACUUGGUAGACUAUGCAGCCUAUUGCUUACAUGGGUUGCCCUAAGGGACCUUGGAGACAGCC
Molecule: small nucleolar RNA, 135 nt
Organism: Choloepus didactylus (southern two-toed sloth)
Lineage: Eukaryota; Metazoa; Chordata; Mammalia; Pilosa; Megalonychidae
Product: small nucleolar RNA SNORA70
Exons: 1
Source: RefSeq, a predicted model, not a curated record